UGCAGUCGAACGGAAUCCUGGUGUAGCAUACACCGGAAGAUUUAGUGGCGAACGGGUGAGGAUCACGUGAGAAACGUGCCCCAGACUCUGGGAUAACAAUUGGAAACGAUUGCUAAUACCGGAUGACGUCGGAGAAUCGCAUGAUUCACUGACGAAAGAUAUUUCGGUUUGGGAGCGUCUCGCGGCCUAUCAGCUUGUUGGUGGGGUAAUGGCCUACCAAGGCAACGACGGGUAGCUGGUCUGAGAGGAUGAUCAGCCACACUGGGACUGAGACACGGCCCAGACUCCUACGGGAGGCAGCAGUGGGGAAUCUUGCGCAAUGGGCGAAAGCCUGACGCAGCAACGCCGCGUGCGGGAUGAAGGCCUUCGGGCUGUAAACCGCUUUCAGCAGGAACGAAAAUGACGGUACCUGCAGAAGAAGGAGCGGCCAACUACGUGCCAGCAGCCGCGGUGACACGUAGGCUCCAAGCGUUGUCCGGAUUUAUUGGGCGUAAAGAGCUCGUAGGCGGUUGAGUAAGUCGGGUGUGAAAACUCUGGGCUUAACCCGGAGACGCCAUCCGAUACUGCUCUGACUAGAGUUCAGGAGGGGAGUGGGGAAUUCCUAGUGUAGCGGU
Molecule: ribosomal RNA, 614 nt
Filed under: uncultured Actinomycetes bacterium
Lineage: Bacteria; Bacillati; Actinomycetota; Actinomycetes
Description: bacterial SSU rRNA
Rfam family: Bacterial small subunit ribosomal RNA
Source: RNAcentral